CACAUCCUGGCUGUUUACAAACCGUGAGAGGUGGAGUCAGGCAGUGAAGCAAGUGGGUGAGAUUCACUGGCAGGCUUCUCAAAGGCACUGAGGGCAACUUGCAGAAGAUUUGCAGAGCUCUGCUUUUUCACUUCAGUUGCGAGCUGGACCUUGAAGGGUAUUUGCCUUGUGGAUACUGCGUUUACAUCUGUUAGAGAUGGAGACCUCACAUUGCCUGUGGGGGAAGUUUGGGGACAAGGCAGGGAAGAACUCUUUCUUCUAGAGAAUGCUUUGAAAAUAACACAAAAUCCACACGGGGAGUCCUGACUGCUCAGGAUUGAAUUUGAACAUUACCGCAACUCACCAAAGCAGCAAGAAACAGGUUUUCCAGCAACAGAAAGAACUCCCUUUUCAGUCAAUAAUUGGAAUCAUUCUCAUAGUCACCCAAAACAGGAUAAAAAAAAACAAGGUCACUCCAUAGCCCUAGUCUCACCACAAGGAAAACAUGAGGCAAAUGCCAAUAUAGGGGCAUCCUAUGACCUACCUGACCAGCACUCAUCAAAACCGUCCACAUCGUCAGAAAUAAGGACCAUGGAAGAAACCACCACAGCCCAGAGCAGCCUAAGCAGACACCACAACUAAAUACAAUGUGGUCCCCGGAUGAGACCCUGGAGCAGAAAAACUCGGGGAAAAUGAAGGAGACCUGAAUAAAACAUGAACUUCAAUGAAUAACUAUGCAUAAAUAUUGGUUUAUUAAUUAUAACAGAUGUGCCAUACUCAUGUAAGAUGUUAAUGACAGGGGAAACUGAGUGAGCGGUAUAUGGGAACCCUCCUUACUAUCUUCUUGAUAUUUCGGUAAAGCUAAAAUAAAGUCUAAAAAAAGUAGGUUACUAAACAGCUUGUAUAUCAUGGAAAAAAAUCAAUAAGAUUACAAACAAAAGGUUAUCAGGUUUAUAUAUCCUCAUGGUGGGAUUA
Long non-coding RNA from Eptesicus fuscus (big brown bat), 954 nucleotides. RefSeq lists it as uncharacterized. The transcript has 3 exons. The record is from RefSeq and is a predicted model, not a curated record. Lineage: Eukaryota; Metazoa; Chordata; Mammalia; Chiroptera; Vespertilionidae.